Molecule: transfer RNA, 29 nt
Filed under: Cornus sericea
Lineage: Eukaryota; Viridiplantae; Streptophyta; Magnoliopsida; Cornales; Cornaceae
Also listed under: 3 other names
Description: partial tRNA-Leu
Source: RNAcentral
AAAAUCCGUCGAUUUUAGAAAUCGUGAGG